This 438-nucleotide ribosomal RNA is filed under the name uncultured bacterium. Its description in RNAcentral is "partial 16S ribosomal RNA". It matches the Rfam family "Bacterial small subunit ribosomal RNA", at positions 339 to 795 of the family's 1533-position model. The record is from RNAcentral.
CUACGGGGGGCAGCAGUGAGGAAUAUUGCACAAUGGGGGGAACCCUGAUGCAGAACGCCGCGUGGAGGAUGACGCAUUUCGGUGUGUAAACUCCUUUUAUAUGUCAAGAAAAUGACGGUAGCAUAUGAAUAAGCACCGGCUAACUCCGUGCCAGCGGCCGCGGUAAUACGGAGGGUGCAAGCGUUACUCGGAAUCACUGGGCGUAAAGGACGCGUAGGCGGGUUGGAAAGUCAGGUGUGAAAUCCUACAGCUUAACUGUAGAACUGCACUUGAAACUUCUAAUCUAGAGUAUGGGAGGGGGAGAUGGAAUUAGUGGUGUAGGGGUAAAAUCCGUAGAAAUCACUAGGAAUACCUAAAGCGAAGGCGAUCUCCUGGAACAUUACUGACGCUAAGGCGUGAAAGCGUGGGGAGCAAACAGGAUUAGAUACCCCUGUAGUC